Molecule: ribosomal RNA, 397 nt
Filed under: uncultured bacterium
Lineage: Bacteria
Description: partial 16S ribosomal RNA
Rfam family: Bacterial small subunit ribosomal RNA
Source: RNAcentral
AUACGUAGGGGGCGAGCGUUGUCCGGAAUGACUGGGCGUAAAGGGCGUGUAGGCGGCGGUGUAAGUCUGGAGUGAAAGUCCCGCAUUCAAUGUGGGAAUUGCUUUGGAUACUGCAGUGCUAGAGUGCGGAAGAGGUAAGUGGAAUUCCCAGUGUAGCGGUGAAAUGCGUAGAGAUUGGGAGGAACACCAGUGGCGAAGGCGGCUUGCUGGGCUGUAACUGACGUUGAUGCUCGAAAAUGUUGGGAAGAAACAGGGUUAGAUUCCCUGGUAGACCACACCGUAAACGAUGAGUGCUAGGUGGUUGAGGGUUUCCGCCCUUAAGUGCCGCAGCUAACGCAUUAAGCACUCCGCCUGGGGAGUACGACCGCAAGGUUGAAACUCAAAGGAAUUGACGGGG